Molecule: ribosomal RNA, 451 nt
Filed under: uncultured bacterium
Lineage: Bacteria
Description: bacterial SSU rRNA
Rfam family: Bacterial small subunit ribosomal RNA
Source: RNAcentral
GUCGAGAGGCUUCGGCAAUGGGGGAAACCCUGACCGAGCGACGCCGCGUGAGGGAUGACGGCCUUCGGGUUGUAAACCUCUUUCAGGAGGGAAGAAAUGCGUGCGAUCCAAUACAUCGCACGCUUGACGGUACCUUCAGAAGAAGCUCCGGCUAACUCCGUGCCAGCAGCCGCGGUAAUACGGGGGGAGCAAGCGUUGUUCGGAAUCACUGGGCGUAAAGGGCGCGUAGGCGGCCUGGUAAGUGGAGUGUGAAAUCCCCCGGCUCAACCGGGGAGGGUCGCUCCAAACUGCCUGGCUUGAGUGCAGGAGAGGAGACUGGAAUUCUCGGUGUAGCGGUGAAAUGCGCAGAUAUCGGGAAGAACACCGGUGGCGAAGGCGAGUCUCUGGCCUGUUUCUGACGCUGAGGCGCGAAAGCUGGGGGAGCAAACGGGAUUAGAAACCCCAGUAGUCC